AAAAUGAGUGCGCAUUUUUUUAAUAAAUUUGCACAUAUUUCCUUGUAAUCCCGGAACCGGAAGUCGGAUCCAAAUGAAAUUCAAGAAAAUUGUAUGAGGCCAUAAGACCUUUCAUUUGAAUCUAAGUUUGUGAAAUCGAAUCAGCCAUCUCUGAGAAAAUUGAGUGACAUUAUUUGUCACAUACACACAUACAUCUUGUGAUCUCGCUGAACUGAGUCGAAUGGUAUAUGAUACUCGGCCCUCCUCGGUUGUAAAGUCGGUUUUCACAGCGAUUGCAUAGCCUUUCUAUAUGAGAAUGGCAAAAAUUCGUUCCUCUAAUAAUAUCAGAUGUGACUCCCUUCACAAAGAGUUGAGUCUAUGCAAGACAAAUUUUACGAUUUUAUCUGCCAUCGACAGGACAUAACUUAGCAAUUUUUGCCGAACGCCGCAAUUUGCAACCCACAAGUUUACGGUCGGAAAACAAAUUCUAUUACCCGAUCACAGAAGACUCGUUUCUCUUUAUAACUCAGUAAAAUUUACCGCAGUAACACCAUAGCAGCAAACAAAUACAACAGCUAGGCCAUCUGCGACUGACGGCAAAGGUCAUUUUGUUAUAGCAACCCAUUUUAAAGUUGUUAUCCUGUUGAGAACAGUUUUACCGUGUCGUGUUGACACAAUCGUCUUGUUCUUAUGAUUGAUUGUUUCGAAUUGUGUUAAAGAAGCUGGUAUUGAAAACGGAGCCGGUGGCGCUUACUGUGGCAGGAUCAAGCUGUGUUUUGUGAUGUUAUUUUCAUGUAUUUGUCUAUACGCUUUCGCAAACGACUGCAUUUUCUAGGAGAAUAAGAGUAAAAUCCCAAAACCGAUUGUUGGUUAGUUAAAACAGAGAAGCAGAUUACCAGGCGUGCUUCAUCGCCCACGUGUAUGAAGGGGACUAUCGUAAAACAACAAAUAUUCUUUUUUAUCGGUUGUUUCUAUCUACUUACUAUCUAAUCAAUCAUCUGCGACUUAUCGGCAAUGAAGCAGCUAAAGCGUUCAUAUUCUAGAAAAAAAUUCUAGAAGCUACUUAAUGUUUCGGACAAUACCUGUUCAUUCAGCUGUCCUACGUGAACUUUAAAUGUGUCUUUUCGUGUAAACGUGUGUAUGUGUGUGUGAACGUCCAACCAGCUAUCUGUCACAAACUAAGGUAUUCAUACUUCAAAGAGUAUCUGUACUUCAACCGCAUUCUGCUGAACGGAGCGGAGGUGGCCUUAGCUCCUCAUCCGGGCGGUUUUGGGCGAAAUCAACGUUCGCUGGAUUCCAUCGGGGGUGGAAACUUACUGAAGCGAUCCCUCGAUUCGAUCGGCGGAGGAAAUUUACUUAAGAAAUAAUUUCCGCGCUAUGGUGCAGUCGGUCGUCGUCGGAGGUUUUCUUUCUUUUAACUUUUAGCUCUAAUCGCCUGACGGAGAGAGGACCUAUUCUACUAAUACAAAAUACGAUUAGAACGAUUUGAUGGUUGUGAAAUGAUUUUUCAGCCAAUUGGUGAUGGAAAGCUUACUAAUACGGACACAAAAUGAAACCUCGAGUAUUAGUAGCCAUAGUAGUAACAUGUUACUGACAAAAUGUACCUCUUUACCGAAGUUUUCAUCGUAUUUUGUUCCAUAUAUCAAUAAGAACAAAUAGCAAAUAGCAGGAAUCAUGGAAUAAGUAAACAAAAUUAUCCCCCAUUAUAAGGACUAUCAUGGUUUCAUAAAAUAAAUAUUUUCGUAAUAAAGGUGCAGCUUCAGUAAUA
Long non-coding RNA from Malaya genurostris, 1747 nucleotides. RefSeq lists it as uncharacterized. The record is from RefSeq and is a predicted model, not a curated record. The transcript is spliced from 2 exons. Lineage: Eukaryota; Metazoa; Arthropoda; Insecta; Diptera; Culicidae.